Ictalurus punctatus (channel catfish) is the source of this 398-nucleotide long non-coding RNA. NCBI's taxonomy places the organism in Eukaryota, Metazoa, Chordata, Actinopteri, Siluriformes, Ictaluridae. The record is from Ensembl.
UUCUUUCUUUCUUUCUUUCUUUCUUUCUUUCUUUCUUUCUCCCAAUUACAUUAGGACACCCCAUUCUAAAAAAAUAAUGAGAGAAAAGUAUAGCCACUCAUUUAAUGGCCAAUUCAGAAUAACUUGUCUUCCACAUUUUGAGCUACUUGUAAUAUACAACGUAUUGUGUACAACAGCAGCAGUAACUCUGGGAAUACCAUAUGAGUCAUUUUACAGUGGAUAUAAAAGUCUGUAUGGCCCUGAUUGUCACGGAUUUGUCCUCGCUGCAGCAUGCUCAGCAGCCCGUAGUGCGACAGCGCAUGCUUAUGCUUUAUCAAACUUGAAGGCCCACAAAUCAAGUCACAUACUGUCAUUUCAUCUGCUUUUGCAUUAUGCGGUAUGUGGGAGGUAGAAUUUGU